AUGCAGAAUUCAGUGAAAUCAUCGAAUCUUUGAACGCACAUUGCGCCCCUUGGUAUUCCAWGGGGCAUGCCUGUUCGAGCGUCAUU
RNAcentral lists this ribosomal RNA (86 nucleotides) under uncultured fungus. RNAcentral's name for it is "partial 5.8S ribosomal RNA". It matches the Rfam family "5.8S ribosomal RNA", at positions 72 to 154 of the family's 154-position model. Rfam says of the family: 5.8S ribosomal RNA (5.8S rRNA) is a component of the large subunit of the eukaryotic ribosome. It is transcribed by RNA polymerase I as part of the 45S precursor that also contains 18S and 28S rRNA. Lineage: Eukaryota; Fungi. The record is from RNAcentral.